This 407-nucleotide ribosomal RNA is filed under the name uncultured Microbacterium sp. Its description in RNAcentral is "bacterial SSU rRNA". It matches the Rfam family "Bacterial small subunit ribosomal RNA", at positions 976 to 1382 of the family's 1533-position model. The record is from RNAcentral. Lineage: Bacteria; Bacillati; Actinomycetota; Actinomycetes; Micrococcales; Microbacteriaceae.
AAGGCUUGACAUAUACGAGAACGGGCCAGAAAUGGUCAACUCUUUGGACACUCGUAAACAGGUGGUGCAUGGUUGUCGUCAGCUCGUGUCGUGAGAUGUUGGGUUAAGUCCCGCAACGAGCGCAACCCUCGUUCUAUGUUGCCAGCACGUAAUGGUGGGAACUCAUGGGAUACUGCCGGGGUCAACUCGGAGGAAGGUGGGGAUGACGUCAAAUCAUCAUGCCCCUUAUGUCUUGGGCUUCACGCAUGCUACAAUGGCCGGUACAAAGGGCUGCAAUACCGUGAGGUGGAGCGAAUCCCAAAAAGCCGGUCCCAGUUCGGAUUGAGGUCUGCAACUCGACCUCAUGAAGUCGGAGUCGCUAGUAAUCGCAGAUCAGCAACGCUGCGGUGAAUACGUUCCCGGGUCUU